This 497-nucleotide ribosomal RNA is filed under the name uncultured bacterium. RNAcentral's name for it is "partial 16S ribosomal RNA". It matches the Rfam family "Bacterial small subunit ribosomal RNA", at positions 28 to 507 of the family's 1533-position model. The record is from RNAcentral.
GAUGAACGCUGGCGGCGUGCCUAAUACAUGCAAGUCGAGCGAACGGACGAGAAGCUUGCUUCUCUGAUGUUAGCGGCGGACGGGUGAGUAACACGUGGAUAACCUACCUAUAAGACUGGGAUAACUUCGGGAAACCGGAGCUAAUACCGGAUAAUAUUUUGAACCGCAUGGUUCAAAAGUGAAAGACGGUCUUGCUGUCACUUAUAGAUGGAUCCGCGCUGCAUUAGCUAGUUGGUAAGGUAACGGCUUACCAAGGCAACGAUGCAUAGCCGACCUGAGAGGGUGAUCGGCCACACUGGAACUGAGGCACGGUCCAGACUCCUACGGGAGGCAGCAGUAGGGAAUCUUCCGCAAUGGGCGAAAGCCUGACGGAGCAACGCCGCGUGAGUGAUGAAGGUCUUCGGAUCGUAAAACUCUGUUAUUAGGGAAGAACAUAUGUGUAAGUGACUGUGCACAUCUUGACGGUACCUAAUCAGAAAGCCACGGCUAACUACGUG